RNAcentral lists this ribosomal RNA (497 nucleotides) under uncultured bacterium. Its description in RNAcentral is "partial 16S ribosomal RNA". It matches the Rfam family "Bacterial small subunit ribosomal RNA", at positions 28 to 507 of the family's 1533-position model. The record is from RNAcentral.
GACGAACGCUGGCGGCGUGCCUAAUACAUGCAAGUCGAGCGCUGAAGGUUGGUACUUGUACCAACUGGAUGAGCAGCGAACGGGUGAGUAACGCGUGGGGAAUCUGCCUUUGAGCGGGGGACAACAUUUGGAAACGAAUGAUCAUACCGCAUAAAAACUUUAAACACAAGUUUCAAGUUUGAAAGAUGCAAUUGCAUCACCCAAAGAUGAUCCCGCGUUGUAUUAGCUAGUUGGUGAGGUAAAGGCCCACCAAGGCGAUGAUACAUAGCCGAACUGGAAAGGUGAUCGGCCACAAUGGGAAUGAGACACGGCCCAAGCUCCUACGGGAAGGAGCAAGAGGGGAACAUUGGCAAUGGACGGAAGGCUGGACGAAGAAAGGCGCGUGGGUGGAGAAGGGUCUCGGAUCGUAAAAGUCUGUUGGUAGGGAAGAACGUUGGGGAGAGUGGAAAGCUCAUCAAGUGACGGUAACUACCCAGAAAGGGACGGCUAACUACGUG